RNAcentral lists this long non-coding RNA (505 nucleotides) under Elaeis guineensis (African oil palm). RNAcentral describes it as "long non-coding RNA (EGUI_LNC046064)". The record is from RNAcentral. Lineage: Eukaryota; Viridiplantae; Streptophyta; Magnoliopsida; Arecales; Arecaceae.
UACAGUUGCUUGAGAGGCUGAUGGAUCUCUUCCUAAAAUUUGGUGGACUCACGACACUCGUGGCACACCAAUCUCACUUCCCGAACCCUAGGUAGAAACCCUAGGGUACACACCAAAAAUCCUGCAUCCAAUUUUCUCUCUUUUCUUUCUUUUUCUCUCAGAAGGUUUUGGACCUUCACCUCACACACAAGCCUUCCUCACACCCCACUUUCUUUCUCUUAAUUUUUCUGCGCACGCCCCACCUUUCUGCCAUUUUUAAAACAACAUCGAACGUGUCUUAUCCGCGUGAGAGGAUAAAGAUAAGUGGUUACACAUUUGAAUUCAAAUCAAAUUUGAAUUAAAACAAAAACCAACUUAUCCCUAUCCUUUUGGGCGUGAGAAGAGAAGGGGCGUGACUCUUUGUGCGUGGAAAAUGUUUCACGAGAAACCUUUUCUCGUGUAAGUAAUGUGGUGCACAAAAUGGAUAAGGAUGAAGGGGCAAGUGAUAAGUUAUCCAUUCAAAUUC